UGGGGAAUAUUGCACAAUGGACGAAAGUCUGAUGCAGCAACGCCGCGUGGAGGAUGACACAUUUCGGUGCGUAAACUCCUUUUAUGUGAGAAGAUAAUGACGGUAUCACAUGAAUAAGCACCGGCUAACUCCGUGCCAGCAGCCGCGGUAAUACGGAGGGUGCAAGCGUUACUCGGAAUCACUGGGCGUAAAGCGCGCGCAGGCGGCUUUGUAAGUUGGAUGUGAAAUCCUAUGGCUCAACCAUAGAACUGCAUCCAAAACUACUUAGCUAGAGUCUGGGAGGGGAAGAUGGAAUUAGUGGUGUAGGGGGGUAAAAAUCCGUAGAGAUCACUAGGAAUACCAAAAGCGAAGGCGAUCUUCUGGAACAGUACUGACGCUGAGGCGCGAAAGCGUGGGGAGCAAACA
RNAcentral lists this ribosomal RNA (405 nucleotides) under uncultured Sulfurovum sp. RNAcentral's name for it is "bacterial SSU rRNA". It matches the Rfam family "Bacterial small subunit ribosomal RNA", at positions 355 to 774 of the family's 1533-position model. Lineage: Bacteria; Pseudomonadati; Campylobacterota; Epsilonproteobacteria; Campylobacterales; Sulfurovaceae. The record is from RNAcentral.